CCUACGGGUGGCAGCAGUGAGGAAUAUUGGUCAAUGGACGAGAGUCUGAACCAGCCAAGUAGCGUGAAGGAUGACUGCCCUAUGGGUUGUAAACUUCUUUUAUAUGGGAAUAAAAUGUUCCACGUGUGGGAUUUUGUAUGUACCAUAUGAAUAAGGAUCGGCUAACUCCGUGCCAGCAGCCGCGGUAAUACGGAGGAUCCGAGCGUUAUCCGGAUUUAUUGGGUUUAAAGGGAGCGUAGAUGGGUUGUUAAGUCAGUGGUGAAAGUUUGCGGCUCAACCGUAAAAUUGCAUUUGAAACUGGCAGUCUGGAGUACAGUUGAGGUGGGCGGAAUUCGUGGUGUAGCGGUGAAAUGCUUAGAUAUCACGAAGAACUCCGAUUGCGAAGGCAGUUCACUGGACUGCAACUGACACUGAGGCUCGAAAGUGUGGGUAUCAAACAGGAGUAGAUACCCCUGUAGUC
Molecule: ribosomal RNA, 460 nt
Filed under: uncultured bacterium
Lineage: Bacteria
Description: partial 16S ribosomal RNA
Rfam family: Bacterial small subunit ribosomal RNA
Source: RNAcentral